GGCGCCCUCGUGGUUAGAGCGUCCGCCUCGGAUGCGGAAAUCGUGGUUUCAAUCCCCGGCUGAGUCA
Molecule: non-coding RNA, 67 nt
Organism: Potamilus streckersoni
Lineage: Eukaryota; Metazoa; Mollusca; Bivalvia; Unionida; Unionidae
Source: the annotation of a GenBank genome assembly